AUCAGUCAGCACACGACAACAGCGCUUCGAGCCCUGGCCCCUAGCUCGCAUUGCGAGUUCCAGCGAGCCAACCAAACCAUUAGACCAACCACCGCUCCGUCAGUCCCUCUCCUUCCUUCCUAGUUCAUUCCCUCACCUCAUCUAACCAAGCUCCCGAGAGCAGAGAGCUGAGAGAGGGAGAGAAAAAGUAAUCCGACGGAAACGACAAGGGCGCGGCGAGGGCGGGGACGGGAAGGCCCUGGGCGCGGAGGCGCCGAGCACAUGGCAUCGUCGAGGGUGAUACCGUCGUCCUCGCCGUCGCACACGGCCUCGGAUCUCGCGCGCCUAGCGCAGGCCGCCAGCAGGCCCGGCGGCGGGGGCAGCGGGCCGGGCUCCAUGAACGUCGAGGAGCUCCUCCGCGGCAUCUACAGCGACAUGCCCACCCCGGCGCCGCCCGCGUCGGAACCCGGACGCCCGAUGCCCCCGGCCCCGGCGCCGGUGAGCGCCACGCGGAAGACGGCGGAGGAGGUGUGGAAGGAGAUCACUGGCGGAGGUGGCAGUGGGGAAGCCGUGGCUCCCGUGGCGGCUCAGGCUGUCGCUCCCGAUGGUGGCGCUGGCACAGGCGGCCCGGAGGUGACGCUGGAGGACUUCCUGGCCAGGGAGAGCGCGGUGAAGGAGGAUGAGGUUAAGAUUUCUGUCCCCCCCGCGCCGGUCAUGGGGUUACCGGGCGGAGCGGAGGGCGUGAGUGUGCCUGGCGGCGGAGGCGGGAGGGAACGGAAGCGGCAGCUUGUGAGUACAGUGGAUCGCGCUCGCUCUGCUAUCCAGCGAGAGAAACGAAUGAUAAAAAACCGCGAGUCUGCUGCCAGGUCACGGGAGAGGAAGCAGGCCUAUAUCGCCGAGCUAGAAUACAUGGUAACGCGGCUCGCGGAGGAGAAAGCUGAGUUGUUGAGACAACAGAGACCAGUGCAUCAUGAAUGUUCUCAUCUAUAGGCAAACAUAUUACCUUUUGAUGUUCAUGUAUUUCAGGAAGAGCAGUUCCAGACGCGGCUUGAAGAGCUCGUGGACCGAGCGACGCCAGCCAUUCUGAGGAAAAAAACAUCACGAGAUCUUAGAAGAACGAACUCAAUGCAGUGGUAGAUUUGAGCCAAGCUCGGCCGCCGUCUCCUUACUGUUAUAACAUAGAAUUUGCGCCCUGUAUGUCAUUUUUCUAUUUAUAUGCGCCAACUUAGUUGUAGUACCUUAACUGAAAUUGCAUGGGCAAUUAGCCGACACAAAGCUUAAAUGAAAUCAUGUUGUGUAGGUCAUGACCAAGAAAGGUUGUUGUUCCUGUCUGGUCGUGUUGCAUUCUGCCUGGUUUAUUUUCUAGAUUUCUUGUCAACAUGGCAGGUAGAUUCAGCAA
Zea mays is the source of this 1378-nucleotide RNA transcript. It is a transcript of the gene named bZIP transcription factor 12, with no coding region annotated. The transcript is spliced from 4 exons. The record is from RefSeq and is a predicted model, not a curated record. Lineage: Eukaryota; Viridiplantae; Streptophyta; Magnoliopsida; Poales; Poaceae.